UCCCCUGUGGCCUAGUUGGUUUAAGGCCUCGUGCUUAUAGUUAAAAGCUAUGUAAGAGUCACGCGAAAAUCGCGAGUUCGAUCCUCGCCAGGGGAA
Molecule: transfer RNA, 96 nt
Organism: Absidia repens
Lineage: Eukaryota; Fungi; Mucoromycota; Mucoromycetes; Mucorales; Cunninghamellaceae
Rfam family: tRNA
About the family: Transfer RNA (tRNA) molecules are approximately 80 nucleotides in length.
Source: Rfam